CGGAGAGGGCGCAUGAGAAACGGCUCCUUUAACCAAGGAAGGGAGGAGGGGCGCAAAUUACCCAAUCCCUUUUCGGGGAGGUAGUGACAAUAUGUAACAAUAUACGGCCUUAUACGUCGUAUAAUUGGAAUGAGUACAAUUUAAAUCCCUUAACGAGGAACAAUUGGAGGGCAAGUCUGGUGCCAGCAGCCGCGGUAAUUCCAGCUCCAAUAGCGUAUAUUAAAGUUGUUGCAGUUAAAAAGCUCGUAGUUGGACCUUGGACCUGGACAGGCGGUCCGCCUCACGGCGAGUACUGUCUUGCUGGGUCUUUCCUCUUGGUGAUCUGUUGUUUCGGCAGCAGGGAACCAGGACCUUUACUUUGAAAAAAUUAGAGUGUUCAAAGCAGGCUCGACGCCGGAAUAUAUUAGCAUGGAAUAAUAAAAUAGGACGUGCGGUUCUAUUUUGUUGGUUUUUGGAAUCGCCGUAAUGAUUAAUAGGGACAGUCGGGGGCAUUAGUACUCACAUGCUAGAGGUGAAAUUCUUGGAUUUUGUGAAGACUAACUUCUGCGAAAGCAUUUGCCAAGGAUGUUUUCAUUAAUCAAGAACGAAGGUUAGGGUAUCGAAAACGAUUAGAUACCGUUGUAGUCUUAACAGUAAACUAUGCCGACUAGGGAUCGGUCGAUGUUAUCUUUUUGACUCGAUCGGCACCUUACGAGAAAUCAAAGUUUUUGGGUUCUGGGGGGAGUAUGGUCGCAAGGCUGAAACUU
This 746-nucleotide ribosomal RNA is filed under the name uncultured organism. RNAcentral's name for it is "SSU rRNA". It matches the Rfam family "Eukaryotic small subunit ribosomal RNA", at positions 384 to 1145 of the family's 1831-position model. The record is from RNAcentral.